GGAAUCAAUUCAACAAGAAGAGCUAACUAUCCUAAAUAUGUAUGCACCCAAUACAGGAGAACCCAGAUUCACAAAACAAGUUCUUAGAGACCUACAAAGAGACUCAGGCUACCACACAACAAUAGUGGGAGACAUUAACACCCCAUUGUCAAUAUUGGAUCAUCUAGGCAGAAAAUUGACCAGAAAGGACUUGAACACAGCUCUGGAUCAAGUGAAUCUCAUAGAUAUCUACAGAACUCUCCAACACGAAACAACAGACUAUAUAUUAUUCUUAGUGGCAUAUGACACUCUAAAAUUGAUCACAAAAUUAGAAUUAAAACACUCCUCAGCAAAUGCAAAAUAACUGAAAUCAUAACAAUCUCUCAGACCACAGUGCAAUCAAAUUAGAACUCAAGAUUAAGAAACUCACUCAAAACCACACAACUACAUGGAUAUUGAACAACGUGCUCCUGAGUGACUUCUGGGUAAAUAAUAAAAUUAAGGCAGAAAUCAAGAAGCUCUUUGAAACCAAUGAGAACAAAGAGACAAUGUACCAGAAUCUCUGGGAGGCAACUAAAGCAGUGUUAAGAGUUUCUCCACAGACACUACCCAAAGCAGUGCUUCACUACAGUGGCAGACAGACCUGAAAAUUUUCAUCUGAAGCAGCAGAGUGAACUGCAGAGGCAGGUCACCAACCAGUGUGGAGGCUAAAAGCGGGCCUCUUUGGGGAUUCCAGGUGGAAGUGUUGGACAUCUGUAGUAUUCCUGGUCUCGAAUCAUCCUGAUAUUCUUCAUUUUGUUAUUCACAUUGGACUAGG
RNAcentral lists this long non-coding RNA (796 nucleotides) under Homo sapiens (human). RNAcentral describes it as "atherosclerotic plaque pathogenesis associated transcript". The record is from RNAcentral. Lineage: Eukaryota; Metazoa; Chordata; Mammalia; Primates; Hominidae.